This 167-nucleotide small RNA is filed under the name Salisediminibacterium selenitireducens. RNAcentral describes it as "Bacillus selenitireducens Magnesium sequence". It matches the Rfam family "M-box riboswitch aptamer (ykoK leader)". From Rfam's summary of the family: M-box riboswitch, also know as ykoK leader is described as a metaloregulatory RNA that sense divalent metals and function as a genetic control element of genes related to divalent metal transport in bacteria. It was first reported upstream of the B.subtilis ykoK gene and genes with related functions in other bacteria. RNAcentral also lists the same sequence under 1 other name. Lineage: Bacteria; Bacillati; Bacillota; Bacilli; Caryophanales; Bacillaceae. The record is from RNAcentral.
UGAAUCCCUCGUUAGGUGAGGCUCCUGCAGUGGAGACAUGCUGAUGCCCAACAACGUCCAAAGACGCCAAUGGGUUGAACAGGAACCAUCGACAUAAGGUGGUUUUUAACGCAGCUGAGCGCCGCUCUAUGCCCUGCAGUGCUAAAGCUCAACGAAUGGAGGAAAAA